RNAcentral lists this transfer RNA (71 nucleotides) under Marmota monax (woodchuck). RNAcentral's name for it is "tRNA.Ala". The record is from RNAcentral. Lineage: Eukaryota; Metazoa; Chordata; Mammalia; Rodentia; Sciuridae.
GUAGUGUAGCUCAGUGGCAGAGCACUUGCCUAGCAUGCAUGAGUAUCCUAGGUUCAAUCCUCCGGCACACG